AGUGAAUCCUCUUAACUCUGGAAAAUAUAGAGAACAAGCAGCUUAACUCUUAGAAAUAAGUCUCAUCCCUAGAUUUAAAAAUGCUGCAUGAAAUACGGCUGCAUACAGGAAAACUCAGGUCUCUGGGCUUUGAACCUGCUGCUCAGCUGCAGACUUGCGAGGUGCCUCUGAGGGAGCGUAAGGACUGAAGGACCUGGGGAUUGCACAAGAGAAGCCACUUCAGAUUACUGCACACUUUAAACUGGCCUCAAAGAGGCUGGGCUGGCUGGUGUUGAAGAAUUGGAUUCAAAGCAUCUAGAGCAGGAAAUGCCUUUUGAGGUCAUGUGGCCUAUCUGCUAGACACGGAAUUGCACACGCUGUCAGAGUUUCACACCCUCUCUGGGAGGAUUACAUCAGAGCAGGAAGCCGUGUGUGAGCCCCCCUGUCAGCGUUUCCAGCUUCCACAGCAGAAGUAAAUGGAACAACAAAAGGGGUUUUGGCUCCCAAGGGCCAAGUCUGCACUGCGGAAGCCAAACGGCACCAGGAGAGGGUUCUCAGGAUCCUGCUGCUCCAGCUCUGGUGAAACCCAGGCCAAAUAAUUGUUCCAGAAAAGCUAGAGGAAGAUGUUGCCACAUAAUAAAUCAGAUCUUCUCCUGGGGUAACUAGUAAAGCUGCAUUUGUUAACUUCACAUGUCCAAAAUAAUUCAGAAGUACAAGUACAGAGUCUGGAAUAGGGGUCAGUUUUACCUGAGAUGGUUGAAAAG
RNAcentral lists this long non-coding RNA (743 nucleotides) under Dromaius novaehollandiae (emu). RNAcentral describes it as "lncRNA (ENSDNVG00000010514.1)". The record is from RNAcentral. Lineage: Eukaryota; Metazoa; Chordata; Aves; Casuariiformes; Dromaiidae.